This is a long non-coding RNA of Vitis riparia (riverbank grape), 1911 nucleotides long. RefSeq lists it as uncharacterized. The record is from RefSeq and is a predicted model, not a curated record. The transcript has 2 exons. Lineage: Eukaryota; Viridiplantae; Streptophyta; Magnoliopsida; Vitales; Vitaceae.
CAAGCCUUUACCAUUUUCUUUACUGAAAACCCUAAAUUUUCACCCUCCAUUGAAAACCCUAACUUUUGGAAGACAAGAAAGAAGGGAGAAAGAAGGGAUCCACCGUUCUUAGAGAGAAAGAAGAGAAGAGAAAAAUGCAGGUUUUCUUUUCAUCUUGCCCAGAUUACAUCAAAGGUCUGAUCCCACUUCGUCCAUGGUCCGAUCGAGCUAAAAUUUGGAGGAAAGUUUCAUGACUCAUUCAUCUUCAAUCUGAACGGUGAGGAUCGGAUUUGGAGUUUUGGAAAGUCAUUAGAAAGAAAGAGGAGAAGAGAGAAAAACGUAGGUUUUUCUCAUCAUACCCAGAUUUCAUCAAAUUUCCGAUGCCGCUUUGUCCGUGGUCGGAUCGAGUUGAAAUUUGGAGGAGGGGUUCGUGGCUCAUGUAUCUUCAAUAUGAAUGGUGGAGAUUGGAUUUGGAGUUUCGGACAGUCAUUAGAGAGAAAGAGGAGAAGAGAGAAAAACGCAGGUUUUUUAUAUCAUGCCCAGAUUUCAUCAAAGGUACGAUGCCACUUUAUCCAUGGUCUGAUCGAGCUGAAAUUUGGAGGAGAGGUUCACAACUCAUUAAUCUUCAAUUUGAACGGUGAAGAUCGGAUUUAGAGUUUUGGAAAGUCAUCUUUUGGCCAAAAAUAGAACCUUUGUUUUGGUGGGCUUUUCUCUCCGAACUGUUUUGAUCAUUAGCUUUGAUCGAGGUCAAUUCGUGGUCCGAUUGAGUUGCAAUUUUAGGAGCACGUUUAGGACGCAUUGAUCUUCAUUCUAACAGUGGAGAUUGGAUUUGGAGUUUGGAAAAAUGGUAUUUCAGUCCGAGAACCUUGACAAAAGUGAAAGAAACAUUGACAUAUGUCAUAGUAACAAAGAUUUGAUCAUUGGUAGAAAUAGAAACAACCUUGACAUAUGUAAAUGUCAAGGUAGAUUUAAACUUUUCUUGACACUGGCAUAGAUGACAUAUAUAAAUAGUAACAUACCUUGACAGAUAUACCCUACCUUGAUGGUGAAAAACUGUCAACGAAAGGCUUUUUUCUUGUAGUGCUACCAUGUGUGUCUAAACCAUAUCUAAUUUCCUUGGUUGAAAGAUGAUGUUACAGAAGUGGGCAAUAUAAUUCAUUCCCUGUUAAGCAGCUUUGUUUCCACACUUAGAAGUUCUGCUUUUAGAUUGCCUGAGUUUAUCAUGAGCAUCAAAAGAGAAACUAGUCAAGAGCCAUGUGAAAUAUUUGAUACACAGGUAGAGUUAAGUUGUAUUCAAGUUGACUUGCAUAACUCACUAAGUUAAGCAUUAAUCUGGCAUCUUUAUGAUCUACUUAACCUCUUUAAAAUUACAAAAAUUACAAUCUAACUUGUUUUUCCAAAUGAUUAUAAAAAAAUGAAACAAAAGAAUAUAAAUUAUUGUUGCAGAAAUUGGAGGCCUCAAUGCCUAUGUAUCAGGCCCUUCUGAUUCGAAGCUUGCUAUUCUACUUGGUUUGGACGUUUAUGGUGGCCACCUAGUCCGUUAUUUCUCUUCCACUUUGAAAAUUCCCUGUUGGAUCUCAUGGUUUUCUGUUUCUUUCCAUAUUCAUUUUAUUAUUCGAACUAUUAUGCAGGGAAUGAAGCCACCAAAUCUUAGGAUAAAGGUUUUGAAGAUGGAAAACCGAUAAUUGAAAAACUGAGAAGUAAAGGCAUAAUUGCAAUUGGAGUAGCAAGAUUCUACCUGGGUGGUCAGAAUGGAUACACACAUUGAGAGAAAGUGGGAUGAGAAGCAUGAAUGAUGACCUUUUUGGUUGUCCUAUAUAUGUUUUAUAUUUUCUGUCUUAAGGACAAGAUGACUCAAUUCUGUUUCUUGUAACAUUUGUAGAUGAAUGUUUAGUCAUGAUGUGAAGCCCACUGCCAUUCGAGUUGUUCUUA